Molecule: long non-coding RNA, 2238 nt
Organism: Ailuropoda melanoleuca (giant panda)
Lineage: Eukaryota; Metazoa; Chordata; Mammalia; Carnivora; Ursidae
Exons: 4
Source: RefSeq, a predicted model, not a curated record
AUUAGAAGAGAAAAAUGAGAUCUCCCUCCUCCUCCUCCUCGUUAAUAUCUCCAAAGAUCCUGGAGCCCUUGCCAAAAUUUUUCUGGUGACCAGGAUGACAUCUGCUGAGACAUUCCGCUGACUCCAGAGCCUGCAGCCUGGGAUCCUGGGAAAACGGGCCGAAGCCGGCAGAGGGUGACAAUUCUUUCCAAAGGCCGCUCUCCCAGAUCUCUAUGGUGCCUGAUCAGGAGAGGAAGGUUGGCUGGUUGUUGAGUCUCUAGGCCAGGGUCAAGGCUGAGCUCAACUGCACAGCCCAAGACGAAGAUUAAGUCUGGAUCUUCUCCCUGUGUCUACGUGGAGCAGGCAUCUAACCACAGCAUAAUCAUCUCCUGGCAAUGGUGAAGGAACAAGAGAAGAAACCCCGACCAUACGCUGAAUAGUCCCUGAGAUUUCCAAGGAACCAGGAAUGUUUGACAUCUAUAAAAUGUGCAAUGGAAUAUCUUUAGCAUUUUGAUGCUUAUUGCAGAUGAGGUCCUGUUAACUAACAGUUCUACCCCCACAAUGCCUCAAAACUCAAACACUCCAGGAGGUCACGUGAGGAUUCUUCCUGGUCUGCAGCAUCCUGGAAUCAAUCUGAAUUCCCUGAAGAUCAGUACAUGCUAGCACUCUACUCCUCCAAUACUCAGUUUGCUUCUCAACCUAGACCAAAAUUUCCAACUUGAGUAUUCACUGAGGAUGAGACACACUCUCUCUCUUUCUCUUCAUGCUAUGCAGACCUAAAGAAAAAUAAAGGAUUAGGGUCCAGUCUAAUCUGAAUAUUCUACACAGAGAUGAGAUUUAAGAAAUUGUCAUCAUUUUAUACAACUAGUAAUAUGAAAGACUUCAAUGCAUGGCAAGGCCCAGUGGUGUAGCCUGGCUCUAGAGGCAAAACAGAGAAACCAGUUGUCCCUUUGACACUACUUUGAAGAACAUCUUUCUCUCCAAGUUAGCCAAGUCCUCUCCAUGUCACUGCCAACCCCUGCCUUCAGGCUCUAUCUGAAUCACUUUCCUUUCUGGUUAAAUCUGUGGAUUCCUGCGGGGAGAAGAGUGGCUCCCACUGGCUCAGGACUAUUUCUCCAGGUUAUAUAUGUCACAAUUUUCCAUGCCUUUAACAAGACUCAAUUAAAAAUUAAUCGGUCCAGCAUGGCAAUUUGAGAGGUAAUUGUUUCUUUUCCUGACUCCAUGGCCAUAGGCAAAAAGCACACCCAGAACCUAAAUUAAUCAUCUAAUUGGGAUUUUUCCAUACUCCAGCCAGUCAGCCUUCCAGGGGUCCCAGCAAUGUGCUGCCUGACCUCAGUAAUUAGAUUGCCCCAGUGUCCACUCUGUGGGCUUUCUGCCUUACUUUCCCUUCCAAGCCCCUUCAGUAAAAUGGAAAAUAGCCAUAUAGGCUGUUUACCUGGGCCCUCUUCAAUGACCAACAGCCUUUAUCUUCAGAAGAGGAAAUACUGGAAAUAGGGGCAGGUUAAUAUAUUCAACAUGGUUUGUAAUAGCAGAAGUCAAUUUCAGCCUAACAGCAAUCUUGGAUUGGUGAAAUAAAAGUAUAGUCUUUUCAUAUAACAUGUAGCAAUGCAGCUAAAAAAGCAGUGAGGAAAUGCUAUGAUUUCAUAGGUCUUUAGGUCAAACCAUACACAUUCUCACUUAACAUGUACAGCAGUGCUGCAAGUUGUGAAUGUAAUUAUCUCUUUUUUUCUUUUUUUUUAAACAGAUGAAUAUAUUGAGCAGGAAAAGAAACUAGGUUAAUACCAGGGGUAUUUGUGUUGAUUCAUAGUAGCUAACACACACAUUACCUUUAUAGUUUUGACAGAAGACACACAUUUUGUUGACUCUUCUGUAAUUUAAGGUUAAUAGCAUUUUUUUUGUUUCUCUAGAAAAAGAACAUAAAAGCCUAUAUUUUAUUGUUCUAUAUUUUAAACCCUGGCAUGAGUUUUAUAUUUUCCUAAAGAGAUGGUAUAAAGGAGUCUAAGUAUCUUUUUUUCCUUAAGUUUCUACCUGCAAAAAAUUAAUUGAAAUGUUUCACCAUAUCUUUCCCAUAGAUUUAUCCAUCAUACACUAAUGACCAUAAAUUAAAAAAAAAAAAAAAGAUUUGGAACUAUAUUUAAGUGGAAGAUAAUUCCUUCCAUAGUGGAUAUUCAGAAGACCAGCCAAUGUUUGAGACUCUUAAAAUGGGACUUAAGUUCUCUCUCCUCCAUGACCAUAAACAUUUAUCUUCAUCAUGCAGUG